ACUUAAAUAAUUUAAAUAAAAUAUUGAUUUGUGGAAUCAAAAAUGUGAAAAAAUUUCAUUUUAGGUC
This 67-nucleotide transfer RNA is filed under the name Athyma kasa. RNAcentral describes it as "tRNA-His". The record is from RNAcentral. Lineage: Eukaryota; Metazoa; Arthropoda; Insecta; Lepidoptera; Nymphalidae.